Molecule: long non-coding RNA, 535 nt
Organism: Mauremys reevesii (Reeves's turtle)
Lineage: Eukaryota; Metazoa; Chordata; Testudines; Geoemydidae
Exons: 5
Source: RefSeq, a predicted model, not a curated record
GCCAAGAUGGUAAUUAAAAAAAAAAAUCACAGUUCAGUGCACUGGAAUCAUGUGUAACUUUUCAGGUUCCUGUCAUUCAACCGAGCUGCAGUGGAGGAUUGGUCCCUCACACAAAUAAAAAUUGAUACUACACAAUAUAUCCUAAUUGACAAUGAACCGGUUACUGAGAUUGUUAAGAAACAAGGAAAUGUUGAGCCUUACAGCUGAAGGAAAGCUUUCCAAGGAUGUGAGAAAGUGGAUCUACUGAUAUAUCAUCAAUAUGGUUCAAAGAAAGAGGCCAGAAAGUUCAUGUAUCUAGAUCCAAAUUUUCUCAGAGUGUGGAGGCAUUCAGAUCUAGGUUUCCAGUCUGCAGGAUCUACAACCCCAUGGAAGGAGGAGGAGCUCUUCUGUUGAACUAUCCUGUGACCACGUCUUAUUCAUUGCACAGGCUGUACAUAGAAGAGAGUUAAGGUUGUACAGGCAACCACACAUCUGUGCCAUUUCUUCAUAUCUGACUGUUUGACUUUGCAACAUAAAUAAAAUUUCUUUUAACAUA